RNAcentral lists this ribosomal RNA (378 nucleotides) under Triticum aestivum (bread wheat). RNAcentral's name for it is "partial small subunit ribosomal RNA". Lineage: Eukaryota; Viridiplantae; Streptophyta; Magnoliopsida; Poales; Poaceae. The record is from RNAcentral.
AUGCUUGGGUGUAGGACUUCCUCAACACCUAUUGACCAGAAUCAUAAGUUAUGUGCUAAAUCUGGCGAACCAGUGGAUAAGGAGAAGUACCAGAGACUUGUUGGAAGGCUCAUCUACAUAUGUCAUACACGACCCGAUAUCUCAUAUGCAGUGAGUGUAGUGAGCAGAUACAUGCAUGAUCCUAGGAGUGGACACUUAGAGGUUGUCUAUCGAAUCCUUCGAUAUCUGAAGGGUAAUCCAGGAAGGGAACUAUGGUUUAAGAAGAAUGGGCAUCUUAAUAUAGAUGGGUAUUGUGAUGCGGACUGGGGAAGUUGUUUGGAUGACAGAAGAUCUACUUCUGGUUAUUGUGUGUUUGUUGGGGAAAACUUGGUGUCAUGA